This 1243-nucleotide long non-coding RNA is filed under the name Musa acuminata (dwarf banana). RNAcentral describes it as "long non-coding RNA (MACU_LNC006687)". The record is from RNAcentral. Lineage: Eukaryota; Viridiplantae; Streptophyta; Magnoliopsida; Zingiberales; Musaceae.
CACCAUAAGAAAACCAUAACUCAGUUUCCAGGUCCGGUUGUGAACACCGAUGUACUGUAGGUGAGCCUACUACCUUUCACACAAGGACAGCCAUUACCGCCGAAAUGUGUGAAUGGCUAACAAAUCACCAGCUUACUUUCCUUUAGCUGCCAAUGUGAUGUGCCCUUAGAACAACCUCUCCCAAUCCAAAUACAUAAACAUCUUUAAGCCCCAUACUCUUUUCCUCAGCCAACUAUAAUAACUAAAGGCAUCCUAAAGUCGUACAGAAACUAACUAGGCAUCAAAUUAAACAUAGAAUGUCACCCUUGGCUAAUUGACUAUCAUAUGUUCCAGGGUACAAAAGGAGCUAAGCAAAUGCAAACAUCAAAGUAGAGUAGCUAAAAUGAUAUCAUUCAUUGAAGAAGAACAACAGCCACUAUAAAAGAAUUUACUGUUCCCAUUGUAUAAUUACUGGAGACAUCAAACUUCAAAUUUGUUUCCAUUUUUUUCUUAGGGAACUGUUCUUCAAUUUUCCAAUGUUAGUGAAUGCGUCUGAAAAGAAACCGCAAUCAAAAGUUACCUCAAAGGACGCAAACACAUAGUUACUAUCGGUGUGCUUACUGACCAUUCACACAAAGAUUACAGCCAUUACAGCUGCGAGGGUGUGACUGGCUAAUUGGCCACCGGCAUAAACUCUCUCAUAGCUCCGAUUUCGGAAGAGACCUUUAUCGAAAUAGCAAUGAAGUGAUAGCAUGAAGCUAAUACCUCGCUCCUCCCAUUGGAAGCCACCUUAUCCAAACGCUGUCGCAAAGCCCAAGUCUUCAGCCGCACUGCAUAACAACAGAGAAGGAAAGAAGUCAAGCAUUUCGCCUACCUCGUCUUGCUCAAGGUUCGCAGAUCCAGUUUCGCCAUCUCGGAACCCUAAGUGGCGAAAGACCAUGAUGACGGGGAUUGAUCGCCUGAAGGAACUCCUCGACGGUGGUGGCGGCGAGGAAGAUCGAAGGCCUCGUCUCCAUGUCGAAGGGAAAUUGGCCGGCGAAGGUCGAGAAGAGAGAUAGGGUUUCAAGCAUUCAUCGAGAGAUUCGAACCGUUGGAUGCUUCAGUCAGUAGACGUGUUGUCCAUCGGACGGGUGCUUAUGCGACGGAUAGAGGUCCGCAUACAACCGUUGUGCGGUCCCAUUCCCCCAAAUGGUCGACGGAUAAACCCUACGCCAGAUUAAAAUCAGAUGUGGUAGUCGAUAGAGGUCCGCUCUCUCCGCUGCCC